RNAcentral lists this long non-coding RNA (193 nucleotides) under Ixodes scapularis (black-legged tick). RNAcentral describes it as "uncharacterized LOC115330763". Lineage: Eukaryota; Metazoa; Arthropoda; Arachnida; Ixodida; Ixodidae. The record is from RNAcentral.
GAAAGCUGGACAUGGGCCACUAAUUAUUUCUCAAGAAUAAAGGAUCUGUAGUUCUUCAUAUGGACUUUAUUGCUCUGAAAAUCAGAGAUUGCUUUGUACAUGAAAGAUGGAAAUGUCCCACUAAUUAUUUCUUGAGAAAAAAAGGAUCUGAUGAGCUUGGAUUGUGUCUAACUCUUGACCGGGAAUCUCCGAC